This 138-nucleotide ribosomal RNA is filed under the name uncultured eukaryote. Its description in RNAcentral is "partial 18S ribosomal RNA". It matches the Rfam family "Eukaryotic small subunit ribosomal RNA", at positions 1299 to 1458 of the family's 1831-position model. The record is from RNAcentral.
UGGUGGAGUGAUUUGUCUGGUUAAUUCCGAUAACGAGCGAGACCUUAACCUGCUAAAUAGCCAGGCCGGCUUUUGCUGGUCGCCGGCUUCUUAGAGGGACUGUCAGCGUCUAGCUGACGGAAGUUUGAGGCAAUAACA